Molecule: ribosomal RNA, 430 nt
Filed under: Bacteroidota bacterium
Lineage: Bacteria; Pseudomonadati; Bacteroidota
Description: Bacteroidetes bacterium partial 16S ribosomal RNA
Rfam family: Bacterial small subunit ribosomal RNA
Source: RNAcentral
UAGGGAAUCUUCGGCAAUGGGGGGAACCCUGACCGAGCAACGCCGCGUGAGUGAAGAAGGUUUUCGGAUCGUAAAGCUCUGUUGUUAAGGAAGAACGAGUGUGAGAAUGGAAAGUUCAUGCUGUGACGGUACUUAACCAGAAAGGGACGGCUAACUACGUGCCAGCAGCCGCGGUAAUACGUAGGUCCCGAGCGUUGUCCGGAUUUAUUGGGCGUAAAGCGAGCGCAGGCGGUCAAUUAAGUCUGAUGUGAAAACCCCCGGCUCAACCGGGGAGGGUCAUUGGAAACUGGUUGACUUGAGUGCAGAAGAGGAGAGUGGAAUUCCAUGUGUAGCGGUGAAAUGCGUAGAUAUAUGGAGGAACACCAGUGGCGAAGGCGACUCUCUGGUCUGUAACUGACGCUGAGGCUCGAAAGCGUGGGUAGCAAACAGG